This 497-nucleotide ribosomal RNA is filed under the name uncultured bacterium. Its description in RNAcentral is "partial 16S ribosomal RNA". It matches the Rfam family "Bacterial small subunit ribosomal RNA", at positions 28 to 507 of the family's 1533-position model. The record is from RNAcentral.
GACGAACGCUGGCGGCGUGCCUAAUACAUGCAAGUAGAACGCUGAAGGAAGGAGCUUGCUCUUUCCGGAUGAGUUGCGAACGGGUGAGUAACGCGUAGGUAACCUGCCUGGUAGCGGGGGAUAACUAUUGGAAACGAUAGCUAAUACCGCAUAACAGUAGAUGUUGCAUGAUAUCUACUUAAAAGGUGCAAUUGCACCACUACCAGAUGGACCUCCGUUGUAUUAGCUAGUUGGUGAGGUAACGGCUCACCAAGGCGACGAUACAUAGCCGACCUGAGAGGGUGAUCGGCCACACUGGGACUGAGACACGGCCCAGACUCCUACGGGAGGCAGCAGUAGGGAAUCUUCGGCAAUGGACGGAAGUCUGACCGAGCAACGCCGCGUGAGUGAAGAAGGUUUUCGGAUCGUAAAGCUCUGUUGUAAGAGAAGAACGAGUGUGAGAGUGGAAAGUUCACACUGUGACGGUAUCUUACCAGAAAGGGACGGCUAACUACGUG